ACCCCUCCAUCGCCCGGGAACUACGAGUUAAGCUUAAAACCCAAAGGACUUGACGGUACCCCAUAUCCCCCUAGAGGAGCCUGUCCUAUAAUCGAUAACCCCCGUUUAACCUCACCAUUUUUUGCCAGUCAGCCUGUAUACCUCCGUCGUCAGCUUACCACGUGAGCGUCAGUGAGCCCAAUGUUUUUCCAACUACACGUCAGGUCAAGGUGCAACAUAUAAAAUGGGAAGAGAUGGGCUACACUUUCUACUAUAGAAUAAACGAAAGACUAAAUGAAACCCGGUCAGAAGGCGGAUUUAGCAGUAAAAUGAAACUAGAGUGUUCACUUAAAUACGGCAC
Molecule: ribosomal RNA, 340 nt
Filed under: Ameerega bilinguis (Ecuador poison frog)
Lineage: Eukaryota; Metazoa; Chordata; Amphibia; Anura; Dendrobatidae
Description: partial 12S ribosomal RNA
Rfam family: Bacterial small subunit ribosomal RNA
Source: RNAcentral